RNAcentral lists this ribosomal RNA (842 nucleotides) under Mycocalia denudata. RNAcentral's name for it is "partial large subunit ribosomal RNA". It matches the Rfam family "Eukaryotic large subunit ribosomal RNA", at positions 74 to 898 of the family's 3401-position model. Lineage: Eukaryota; Fungi; Basidiomycota; Agaricomycetes; Agaricales; Nidulariaceae. The record is from RNAcentral.
AUUCCCCUAGUAACUGCGAGUGAAGCGGGAAAAGCUCAAAUUUAAAAUCUGGCCAGUUCUUCGAUUGUCCGAGUUGUAAUCUAGAGAAGUGUUACCCGCGCUGGCCUGUGCAAAAGUCUUCUGGAAUGAAGCAUCAAAGAGGGUGAGAAUCCCGUAUUUGGCACAGACUACCAGGGCUAUGUGGUGCGCUCUCAACGAGUCGAGUUGUUUGGGAAUGCAGCUCAAAAUGGGUGGUAAAUUCCAUCUAAAGCUAAAUAUUGGCGAGAGACCGAUAGCGAACAAGUACCGUGAGGGAAAGAUGAAAAGAACUUUGGAAAGAGAGUUAAAAAGUACGUGAAAUUGCUGAAAGGGAAACGCUUGAAGUCAGUCGCGUUGGUUGGAAAUCAGCCUUGCUUUUGCAUGGUGUACUUUCUGAUUGACGGCUCAGCAUCAGUUUUGACCAUUGGAUAAAGGUCGUCGGAAUGUGGCACCUUCGGGUGUGUUAUAGCCUUCGAUUGCAUACAUUGGUUGGGAUUGAGGAACUCAAUGCGCCGCAAGGCCGGGUCUUUGACCACGUACGCAUUUAGGAUGCUGGGAUAAUGGCUUUAAUCGACCCGUCUUGAAACACGGACCAAGGAGUCUAACAUGCCUGCGAGUAUUUGGGUGGAAAACCCGGAUGCGCAAUGAAAGUGAAAGUUGAGAUCCCUGUCAUGGGGAGCAUCGACGCCCGGACUUGAUGUUUACUGACGGUUCCGCGGUGGAGCAUGUAUGUUGGGACCCGAAAGAUGGUGAACUAUGCCUGAAUAGGGUGAAGCCAGAGGAAACUCUGGUGGAGGCUCGUAGCGAUUCUGACGUGCAAAAAU